AUCACGGUGCGUCAGUGGGCAACGAUUUCUUCCGUUCAAGCGGAUCUUCCGAUCGCUGGUGAAACGGUGCGGAAAAAAUGUUUGUUUAACGUCACUGAUCCCUGCAUGUUCGUCGCGUAUUAGUCGAACUGGACGUGACUUCGAUCGAUGGUAACGAGCGGCGGAUCGAGCACACUUUUAACGAUGGCGCUGUGCAUCCACGAGGCUAGUCGGAAACGAAAAAUCGAACAGUGGUGUUAAGAGAACGACGAACGAGGGAGCACGCGCCUUCGGUGAUUGUCUCUUUUGUCGGCAAGUUUCGCGCAGAACGAAUACGAAGCCAAAGCCGU
Nomia melanderi (Alkali bee) is the source of this 329-nucleotide non-coding RNA. Lineage: Eukaryota; Metazoa; Arthropoda; Insecta; Hymenoptera; Halictidae. The record is from RefSeq and is a predicted model, not a curated record.